CCCAGCAGAACCUUCCACCCCCUCGUCGCCUCCUCGUCCUCUGCACGACUUUUCCACCCGCCUCCCCGAGUCCCCCCGCCCCAAAACCCGACGCUCCAAAUCGCCCAGCUCGCUGAUCCGCAAGGAUCUGUCGGAAGCGGAGGCAGCCACACUACCGGAGCCGGGAGGACAGGCAGGCGGCUGUGGUGGCGAGGCCGUCAGCGGCGUCGUCGGCCGCGGCUGGGGUAUCUGCGAUGAUAACCCGGUCGAAGCUGGUGGAGCAGCUGCGCGACUACCAGAUCCGAUCCCAGCACAAGCGUGACAUCAUUGGAGCCAUAUCAUGGGGCUUGCUGUGUUGUCUCCUAAUAGUUUCCUCGUACAUGAUGCUAUACUUCAGGCACUUCUGGUUAUCAGCUGUUAUUAUCUGUGUUGGUAUUCUUCUUCCUGCCGGCCUGUAUAUUUUGAGGCAGAGAAAGCUGGCUAAGAAAAGAGAGAGAAGAUUAUUGUUGCCUCUCUCCAUGUAAGGUUACUGGUAGUGGUAGGUUUCCCUUAUUUUGUGGUUAUUCUUGACUAGAGAGAAUCCACAUUCUUGGCUUGCUUAGCACACAUCCAAUGGUUCAUAGGCCUCUGCUGCCCAGUAUACGUCCAUACUCUUUACUAAAGUGCUGGAAGAAAUACCAUCAUUCUUUGAGCUCCAGUGUUGUGUGAGUAGAUAAUCUCCAAUGCUCUUUUGGUACAUGUAGCUUGUGCUUUUUGCUGCACUUCAUUUUCUUUGUUCGUUUAAUAGUGCUUGCAACCUGAAAAGGCAUGUCAAUGUAUCCGACCACCUCGUCUCACACUUGUAACAAAAGAAGAAGAAAAAAGAUUGUUUUGUUA
Lolium rigidum is the source of this 855-nucleotide long non-coding RNA. RefSeq lists it as uncharacterized. Lineage: Eukaryota; Viridiplantae; Streptophyta; Magnoliopsida; Poales; Poaceae. The transcript is spliced from 2 exons. The record is from RefSeq and is a predicted model, not a curated record.